Oncorhynchus mykiss (rainbow trout) is the source of this 1433-nucleotide long non-coding RNA. RefSeq lists it as uncharacterized. The record is from RefSeq and is a predicted model, not a curated record. NCBI's taxonomy places the organism in Eukaryota, Metazoa, Chordata, Actinopteri, Salmoniformes, Salmonidae.
AAUAUCCUACUGAUUCGGUGAUCACCAAUCCUGCAACCGCAAAAUGUCGGAUAAAGCAAUUUCACACAAAAAAAAAACUUUUUUCUUCAUCUACUUUUUAAGGAGAUGCAGUAACGGGACCACACAUACAGACGCAUAUACAGUAUUUGUUCAUUAACAUCUUAAAUGCUUUUUUAAAUGAAAUAAUGAUAAAGUCUUUCAAAAUGCAGAUGUUUAUUUCAACUACAUCUCAACUACAAUAUUUUAUGUAACCUUUUGCUUUGUAAAUAGCUAAAUUUACCAUCAAAUAUGGGCCUGGUCCCUGGCGAGAAAUUGCUCCCCACACAUGGAGUUUGAGGGGAUGUUUGAGACUCGGCAUGCUUGAUCUUUUUUUCUGUAGCAAUUUUGAGCAAAUUGCUCAAGGGCCACGGUUGAUUAGUCUGUGAAGAUGACAUCAUUGAAUGUCUUGCCAGCUUCGAUCCAUGCCUGGGCCUGCAUCAUGUGAAGUGCUUUGUUUGUCAGACGAACCAUUGGGUCGAAACUUGAAAAUGAGCCGGAGCUGAGAGGAUCACCAAAACUAAAGAGCAUACAGCCAUGCCGACAACCAUCCAUGGAGAUCAGUGGACAAAGGGCUAGACAACGGGCCUCACCGAAAAAACGCAUGGUUCCCAAGAAAGCGGCCACUGUAAUCGAUGGGGGCUCAGGAUGGUAUUAUUCUGCUCAUCUGAUGAAGGUGCACACUUUGAAGACCGAGUUUGAGAUAUUGAAGGCAGACCAACAGAAAGAGAAACAUUCUCUCAGGGCAGAGAUACGGGCGACAGAUGAUGCAUUGGACCAGAGACAAAAAAGCAUUAAAGACAGAGCUAAUGAGUACUUGAGGUCACUGAGAAAGUCUGGACAUGGCCUGCUCUCACUUAAGUAAGGAAUUAGGCACUUGUAUGACGUUUACUAUGUAGGCUACAGUAAACCUAUUUGUCCUGUUGGUUUUUGUCAGACUGCACAGUAGCCUAGUAAACAUAUGCAUUUUAAAACAGUUGUAUUUAUUUUAAAAUCAAAUUCAAUAAUAUACUUGUACCACUGUAGAUAAUGUGUUUUUAUUUUUUAGAAUACAGUUCUCGGUUUACAGUAGUGAUGGACAGUUGGAGGCAUUUUGAAAACAUGUUUUCAAACACUUGUUUUUCACAAGUGUAGCAGGUUGUGAACUCUGCACACAACGUUUCCAUUCCGAGAAUGAGAAUGGUAAAUGGCUGUAUUAAUACAUUCACUCAGUACAUUGGAAUACAAAAGAAGCCAUCAACCCAUGAUGGGCUAUUAUCAGGACAAUGGACUCUUGCCAAGGAGGAGAUGAAUAAGGAGGGUAGGAGGAGCGUUGUAUUUAAAGACACUGCACAGAAGCCCAACAAACAAGUGCAUUUUGAAAUAGUAAAAAAAAAAUGAAUUCAAUAAUAAAAUGA